GACGAACGCUGGCGGCGUGCCUAAUACGUGCAAGUCGAACGCUUCUUUUUCCACCGGAGCUUGCUCCACCGGAAAAAGAGGAGUGGCGAACGGGUGAGUAACACGUGGGUAACCUGCCCAUCAGAAGGGGAUAACACUUGGAAACAGGUGCUAAUACCGUAUAACAAUCAAAACCGCAUGGUUUUGAUUUGAAAGGCGCUUUCGGGUGUCGCUGAUGGAUGGACCCGCGGUGCAUUAGCUAGUUGGUGAGGUAACGGCUCACCAAGGCCACGAUGCAUAGCCGACCUGAGAGGGUGAUCGGCCACAUUGGGACUGAGACACGGCCCAAACUCCUACGGGAGGCAGCAGUAGGGAAUCUUCGGCAAUGGACGAAAGUCUGACCGAGCAACGCCGCGUGAGUGAAGAAGGUUUUCGGAUCGUAAAACUCUGUUGUUAGAGAAGAACAAGGAUGAGAGUAACUGUUCAUCCCUUGACGGUAUCUAACCAGAAAGCCACGGCUAACUACGUGCCAGCCCCGCAGUAA
This 523-nucleotide ribosomal RNA is filed under the name uncultured bacterium. Its description in RNAcentral is "partial 16S ribosomal RNA". It matches the Rfam family "Bacterial small subunit ribosomal RNA", at positions 28 to 523 of the family's 1533-position model. The record is from RNAcentral.